GAUAUCCGUGCUAAUUGCAGGGCUAUUACAUGUUUUCUAUAAUUAGAAUAUUAAUUAUAACACGUUUUGAAUAUAGUAUGAACUUGCUAUUUCAAAGGAUCUAUCAUAAUACAUCUAAUUGGUUAAACCAAUUGUCCAUAUAAGUUUCUUACCUAUCAGUCAUUGAUGGUUGGGUAUUGGCCUACCAUAACAUUAACAGGUAACGGGGAAUUAAGGUUUGAUUCCGGAGAAGGAGCUUGAGAAAUAGCUACUAUUUCUAAGGAAAGCAGCAGGCGCGUAAAUUACCUAACUUUGUAAUAAAGAGGUAGUUAACAAAACUAUCAGCAUAUAAUGUUUUUUCAUUUUAUGACUGGAAUGAACAAAGUUUAUAUAUCUUUGUAAGGAGCAAUUAAAGGGCAAGUCUGGUGCCAGCAGCCGCGGUAAUUCCAGCUUUAAUAGCAUAUAUUAAACUUGUUGCAGUUAAAACGCUCGUAGUUAGUUUUUGAUCAUUGCGGACGUGUUGCAAAUUUGUGAUUAUGUCCUAAAUGAUUUAGUAACGAACUUGGUUUUAUUACUGUUUGUUUGUUAUUUUCACUAUAAUAAAAUAAUAGUGUUCAUUGCGAUAUAUCAAUGGAUUCUAUAGUGUAGCAUGCGAAUCUAAAGCUUAAUUUUAGGUUUAGUUCAAAACUGAAGUUAAGCAAUAUUGCUAUAAAAACUGUUUAAGGUAUAUAUAAUCAACCGUUAGAGGUGAAAUUCUUAGAUCAGUUGAUGAUAUUCUAACGCGAAAGCUUUUACCUAGGAAGUUUUUAUUAAUAAAGAACGAAAGUUAAAGGAUCAAGACGAUUAGAUACCGUUGUAGUCUUAACUGUAACAUUACC
This 857-nucleotide ribosomal RNA is filed under the name uncultured eukaryote. RNAcentral's name for it is "bacterial SSU rRNA". It matches the Rfam family "Eukaryotic small subunit ribosomal RNA", at positions 142 to 1043 of the family's 1831-position model. The record is from RNAcentral.